CCUACGGGAGGCAGCAGUGGGGAAUAUUGGACAAUGGAGGCAACUCUGACCCAGCGACGCCGCGUGAAUGAUGAAGGUCUUCGGAGUGUAAAGCUCUGUGAUGGGGGAUGAAAACAAUGACUGUACCCCAAUAGCAGGCCACGGCUAACUACGUGCCACCAGCCGCGGUAAUACGGAGGUGGCAAGCGUUAUCCGGAAUGACUGGGCGUAAAGGGUGCGUAGGAGGUUUAGUAAGUCGGCGGUGUAAUUCCGGGGCUCAACCUCGGCGCUACCGCCAAAACUAUUCGACUAGAGUGCAGGAGGGGUAAGUGGAAUUCCUAGUGUAGCGGUGGAAUGCGUAGAUAUUAGGAGGAACACCAGGGGCGAAGGCGACUUACUGGACUGUAACUGACACUGAGGCACGAAAGCGUGGGGAGCAAACAGGAUUAGAUACCCCAGUAGUC
RNAcentral lists this ribosomal RNA (443 nucleotides) under uncultured bacterium. RNAcentral's name for it is "partial 16S ribosomal RNA". It matches the Rfam family "Bacterial small subunit ribosomal RNA", at positions 338 to 795 of the family's 1533-position model. The record is from RNAcentral.